Molecule: ribosomal RNA, 305 nt
Filed under: uncultured bacterium
Lineage: Bacteria
Description: bacterial SSU rRNA
Rfam family: Bacterial small subunit ribosomal RNA
Source: RNAcentral
UGGGCCUACGGGACGCAGCAGUGAGGAAUAUUGGUCAAUGGCCGAGAGGCUGAACCAGCCAAGUCGCGUGAGGGAAGACGGCCCUACGGGUUGUAAACCUCUUUUGUCGGGGAGCAAAGCGAGUCACGUGUGACUCAUUGAGGGUACCCGAAGAAAAAGCAUCGGCUAACUCCGUGCCAGCAGCCGCGGUAAUACGGAGGAUGCGAGCGUUAUCCGGAUUUAUUGGGUUUAAAGGGUGCGUAGGCGGAAUGCCAAGUCAGCGGUAAAAUCGCGGGGCUCAACCUCGCUCCGCCGUUGAAACUGGC